UUUAACUUUUUCAUUAAAAAAACAAACAACAAGAAAGAACAUAGGGAAAUUAAAAGAAAUAAUGGCUAAUAUCAAGAUGACAACUAUACUUUUCAUUGCCAUAAUUUUCACUAUCUUUGCUUCAAGCAAAUUUGCAUGGGCACAUGAGGAAAUACAUCCCCAUGUUCAACCCCACCCCCACCCCCACCCCCAACCUCACCCCCACCCCCACCCCCAACCUCACCCUCACCCUCACCCCAACACCCACGUCCAACCCCAACCUCACCCCCAACCUCAACCCCACCCCCACCCACAACCCCAGGGUUCUGAAGGGCCAGUAUAUGAAUAUGCAGGACAGAGGUUAAAAAUAGAACCAGGACAUGAAUUAUGUUAUCAAAAAUGUUAUCAAGGUAUUUUUGCUGGUGAAGGUAGUCCAUUAUAUGCAGAAAAAGAAUGCUACGAUAUGUGCCAUAACAAUGGUAAAUUUGUAUUUCCAAACUUUAGUCCUCCACCUUGCGCGAACAAGGUUUAAUUUCAAUUAACGUAUCAGAAAUAAGUACUCCCUCGAUCUGUUGUUCCAAUUUAUAUGGCGAUAUUACUAUUUAGGGAGUCAAAAAAAGACGUCCGUCUUCAACCAAGCUUUAUGGAGGCACGUAAAUAUUUUUAAUUCCAUGCCAUAUCAAUUAGCCAACAAAGAUUCUUUUUAUAAUCAGGGUGUUCAUGACAUUUAUAAUCAACUAUGUAUUUAUUUUUUUACGUUGGUGAUCAUUUGUAAUUGUAACAUGUAUAUGAAAUGAAACAUAACAUGACAUGGAUGCCAUCAAUUUACUGAUUAAUUGUCUUAUAUUAAUUUUUU
RNAcentral lists this long non-coding RNA (835 nucleotides) under Nicotiana tabacum (common tobacco). RNAcentral describes it as "long non-coding RNA (NTAB_LNC010003)". Lineage: Eukaryota; Viridiplantae; Streptophyta; Magnoliopsida; Solanales; Solanaceae. The record is from RNAcentral.